Molecule: ribosomal RNA, 253 nt
Filed under: uncultured bacterium
Lineage: Bacteria
Description: partial 16S ribosomal RNA
Rfam family: Archaeal small subunit ribosomal RNA
Source: RNAcentral
UACCAGCACCCCGAGUGGUCGGGACGAUUAUUGGGCCUAAAGCAUCCGUAGCCGGUCCUGCAAGUCUUCCGUUAAAUCCAGCUGCUCAACAGAUGGGCUGCGGGGGAUACUACAGGGCUAGGAGGCGGGAGAGGCAAGCGGUACUUUAUGGGUAGGGGUAAAAUCCGUUGAUCCAUAGAAGACCACCAGUGGCGAAGGCGGCUUGUCAGAACGCGCUCGACGGUGAGGGAUGAAAGCUGGGGGAGCAAACCGG